This 293-nucleotide ribosomal RNA is filed under the name uncultured bacterium. RNAcentral describes it as "partial 16S ribosomal RNA". It matches the Rfam family "Archaeal small subunit ribosomal RNA", at positions 455 to 747 of the family's 1478-position model. The record is from RNAcentral.
GUGCCAGCAGCCGCGGUAAUACCGGCAGCUCAAGUGAUGUCCCAUAUUAUUGGGCCUAAAGCGUCCGUAGCUGGCCGACCAAGUCUCCCGGGAAAUCCACCCGCCCAACGGGUGGGCGUCCGGUAGAAACUGGCCGGCUUGGAACCGGAAGGCUCAGAGAGUACGUCCGGGGUAGGAGUGAAAUCCCGUAAUCCUGGACGGACCACCGGUGGCGAAAGCGCCUCGAGAGGACGGACCCGACAGUGAGGGACGAAAGCCAGGGUCUCGAACCGGAUUAGAAACCCGGGUAGUCC